UGCUUAAAUCAGGCAGAAGUAAACAUCGAGGGAAAACUUCGUUUGUUGAGCACCGGACUUUUCUUUAUCUCUAUCAUAGCUUUUAUCGCCUAUGGAUAUUCCUUGCGAUGAUGUUCCAGGGACUUGCCAUUAUCGCAUUCAAUGAUGAAAAAUUUAAUGGGAAGACCUUUCGGGAGGUUCUCGGUCUUGCUCCAACAUUUGUUGUAAUGAAAUUUUUUGAGAGUGUCCUAGAUGUUAUCAUGAUGUUUGGGGCAUACUCUACAUCACGGAGGCUUGCUGUUGCUCAUAUUUCUCUUCGUUUUAUUUGGU
Molecule: long non-coding RNA, 309 nt
Organism: Humulus lupulus (European hop)
Lineage: Eukaryota; Viridiplantae; Streptophyta; Magnoliopsida; Rosales; Cannabaceae
Exons: 3
Source: RefSeq, a predicted model, not a curated record